Molecule: ribosomal RNA, 440 nt
Filed under: uncultured bacterium
Lineage: Bacteria
Description: partial 16S ribosomal RNA
Rfam family: Bacterial small subunit ribosomal RNA
Source: RNAcentral
CCUACGGGCGGCAGCAGUGGGGAAUAUUGCACAAUGGGGGAAACCCUGAUGCAGCGACGCCGCGUGAGUGAAGAAGUAAUUCGUUAUGUAAAGCUCUAUCAGCAGGGAAGAAAAUGACGGUACCUGAGUAAGAAGCCCCGGCUAACUACGUGCCAGCAGCCGCGGUAAUACGUAGGGGGCAAGCGUUAUCCGGAUUUACUGGGUGGAAAGGGAGCGUAGACGGCAGUGAAAGUAUGGAGUGAAAGGCGGGGGCUCAACCCCCGGACUGCUCUGGAAACUGUACGGCGGGAGUGCAGGAGAGGUAAGUGGAAGUCCGAGUGUAGCGGUGAAAUGCGUAGAUAUUAGGAGGAACACCAGUGGCGAAGGCGGCUUACUGGACUGUAACUGACGUUGAGGCUCGAAAGCGUGGGGAGCAAACAGGAUUAGAUACCCUUGUAGUC